ACCAAGGUAUCCACCGAUUUGCUCUUAAUAUCUUGAUCAGGAGGCGAUGAAAGACGUGGUAAGCUGCGAUAAGCUUCGGGGAGUUGCUAAACAAACUGUGAUCCGGAGAUUUCUGAAUGGGGGAACCCGUCUUGAGUAAUGUUGAGACAUUUAUAACUGAAUACAUAGGUUAUAAAGGCAAACGAGGGGAACUGAAACAUCUUAGUACCCUCAGGAAAAGAAAACAAUAGUGAUUUUCAAAGUAGCGGCGAGCGAAAUGAAAAUAGCCCAAACCCAAUAUGUGUAAGCCCGAAAGCGUUGUAUAUUGGGGGUCGUGGGGUUUGAUGUUGCAUAGUUUCGGAUAUGCAAAAAGAGUUACAAAGUUGAUUUAUAACCGAAAAGUCUGGAAAGACUUACCAUAGAAUGUGAUAGUCAUUUAGGUGAAAUGAAUCAGCCUCUUUAUCAAAUUCCCAAGUAUUGCGGGACACGAGAAAUCCUGUGAGAAUUUGUGAGGACCAUCUCAUAAGGCUAAAUACUACCUGAUAACCGAUAGUGAACUAGUACCGUGAGGGAAAGGUGAAAAGAACCCCUGUUAGGGGAGUGAAAUAGUACUUGAAACCGUUUGCUUACAAGCAGUGGGAGCUGGACAAUUUUUUGAGAGUCUAGUGACUGCAUGCCUUUUGCAUAAUGAGUCAGCGAGUUACUUUGUGUAGCGAGGUUAAGCCAUAGGGUGUAGCCGGAGCGAAAGCGAGUCUUAAUAGGGCGUAUUAGUUGCACGAAGUAGACCCGAAACCAAGUGAGCUAUUCAUGGCCAGGGUGAAGCGUAAGUAAAAUUGCGUGGAGGCCCGAACCGUUGUAGGUUGAAAACUGCUCGGAUGAGCUGUGAAUAGGGGUGAAAGGCCAAACAAACUUGGAAAUAGCUGGUUCUCCUCGAAAUAUAUUUAGGUAUAGCCUUGCAAAAUUAGUAACGGGGGUAGAGCACUGAAUGGGCUAGGGGUCCUACCAGAUUACCAAACCUAAUCAAACUCCGAAUACCGUUAACUAUAAUUGCAGGAGUCAGACUACGGGAGCUAAGUUUCGUGGUCGAGAGGGAAACAACCCAGACCGUCAGCUAAGGUCCCCAAAUAUGUGCUAAGUGGGAAAGGAAGUGGAAAUGCUCAGACAGCCAGGAGGUUGGCUUAGAAGCAGUCAUCCUUUAAAGAAAGCGUAACAGCUCACUGGUCGAGUGGGUUUGCACCGAAAAUGUAACGGGGCUAAAGCACAUUACCGAAGCUGCGGGUAUCAAAAAAUAUUUAUUUUUUGGUACGGUAGAGGAGCAUUCUGUUAAGGCUGAAGGUUAUUCGUAAGGAUAGCUGGACAUAACAGAAGAGACCAUGCUGACAUGAGUAACGAUAAAGCGGGUAAGAAACCCGCUCGCCGUAAACCUAAGGUUUCCUUGAGUAAAGCUAAUCUGCUCAGGGUUAGUCGAUCCCUAAGCCGAGGCCGAAAGGCGUAGGCGAUGGAAAACAGGUUAAUAUUCCUGUACCACCAUCUUAUCAUUAUAAAGCGAUGGGGUGACACAGGAGGGUAGGUCAUCCGUCUGUUGGAAUAGACGGUUUAAGCCCGUAGGCGGAAAGAACAGGUAAAACUGUUCUUUUUUUAACGCUGAGAGGUGAUGAGGAGUCUUUUUUAAUAAAAGACAUAACUGACUAAUCCCAUGCUGUCGAGAAAAGCCUCUAGUGAGAUAAGAAGGUGAUCGUACCGCAAACCAACACAGGUAGGUAAGGAGAGAAUCCUAAGGCGCUUGAGAGAACCCUGGUUAAGGAACUCGGCAAAAUGAUACCGUAACUUCGGGAGAAGGUAUGCCCACAUUAGGUGAAACAAAUUUUUUUAAAAAUUAUCUUGUGGAGCUGAAGUGGGUCGCAGAGAAAUGGCGGUAGCGACUGUUUACUAAAAACACAGGACUCUGCUAAGUUGUAAGACAAUGUAUAGGGUCUGACGCCUGCCCGGUGCCGGAAGGUUAAGGGGAUGUGUUAGUGGUACUUUUGUACUACGAAGCAUUGAACUGAAGCCCUGGUAAACGGCGGCCGUAACUAUAACGGUCCUAAGGUAGCGAAAUUCCUUGUCGGGUAAGUUCCGACCUGCACGAAUGGCGUAACGACUUCCGCACUGUCUCAACCAGGGACUCAGUGAAAUUGUAUUGGCGGUGAAGAUGCCGUCUACCCGCGAAAAGACGGAAAGACCCCGGCACCUUUACUACAGCUUGACAUUGGAUUUUGGAAUACUAUGUGUAGGAUAGGUGGGAGGCUAUGAAACCGAAACGUUAGUUUCGGUGGAGCCAGCCUUGAAAUACCACCCUUACUAUUUUAGGGUUCUAAUUUUGUUCCGUAAUCCGGGCAAAAGACAGUGUUUGGUGGGUAGUUUGACUGGGGCGGUCGCCUCCCAAAGAGUAACGGAGGCGCGCGAAGGUUCCCUCAGGCUGAUUGGAAACCAGCCGUGGAGUGUAAAGGCAUAAGGGAGCUUGACUGCGAGAGAGACAUUUCGAGCAGGUACGAAAGUAGGUCUUAGUGAUCCGGCGGUCCUGAAUGGAAGGGCCGUCGCUCAACGGAUAAAAGGUACGCCGGGGAUAACAGGCUUAUCGCCCCCAAGAGUUCAUAUCGACGGGGCGGUUUGGCACCUCGAUGUCGGCUCAUCACAUCCUGGGGCUGAAGCAGGUCCCAAGGGUUUGGCUGUUCGCCAAUUAAAGUGGUACGUGAGCUGGGUUUAAAACGUCGUGAGACAGUUUGGUCCCUAUCUUUCGUGGGCGUAGGAUAUUUGAGAGGCUCUGUUACUAGUACGAGAGGACCGUAAUGGACGAACCUCUGGUGUUCCAGUUGUCGCGCCAGCGGCAUAGCUGGGUAGCUAUGUUCGGAAAGGAUAACCGCUGAAAGCAUAUAAGCGGGAAGCCUCCCUCAAGAUAAGAUAUCCCCUCAUACAAUUAAUUUUAUUGAGUGUAUGACUGAAGACUACUUGAAGACUACAAGAUUGAUAGGCUGGGUGUGUAAGUACAGUAAUGUAUUCAGCUAACCAGUACUAAUAGUCGUGAGGCUUGAUCAA
Molecule: ribosomal RNA, 3054 nt
Filed under: ciliate metagenome
Description: bacterial LSU rRNA
Rfam family: Bacterial large subunit ribosomal RNA
Source: RNAcentral